Molecule: ribosomal RNA, 492 nt
Filed under: uncultured bacterium
Lineage: Bacteria
Description: partial 16S ribosomal RNA
Rfam family: Bacterial small subunit ribosomal RNA
Source: RNAcentral
AGUGAACGCUGGCGGUAGGCCUAACACAUGCAAGUCGAACGGCAGCACAGUAAGAGCUUGCUCUUACGGGUGUCGAGUGGCGGACGGGUGAGGAAUACAUCGGAAUCUACUUUUUCGUGGGGGAUAACGUAGGGAAACUUACGCUAAUACCGCAUACGACCUACGGGUGAAAGCAGGGGAUCUUCGGACCUUGCGCGAUUGAAUGAGCCGAUGUCGGAUUAGCUAGUUGGCGGGGUAAAGGCCCACCAAGGCGACGAUCCGUAGCUGGUCUGUGAGGAUGAUCAGCCACACUGGAACUGAGACACGGUCCAGACUCCUACGGGAGGCAGCAGUGGGGAAUAUUGGACAAUGGGCGCAAGCCUGAUCCAGCCAUACCGCGUGGGUGAAGAAGGCCUUCGGGUUGUAAAGCCCUUUUGUUGGGAAAGAAAAGCAGCAGGUUAAUACCCCGCUGUUCUGACGGUACCCAAAGAAUAAGCACCGGCUAACUUCGUG